Molecule: long non-coding RNA, 818 nt
Organism: Pistacia vera
Lineage: Eukaryota; Viridiplantae; Streptophyta; Magnoliopsida; Sapindales; Anacardiaceae
Exons: 3
Source: RefSeq, a predicted model, not a curated record
ACUUAGAGUUAGAGGAACCUAACCGCCCGUCUAAAAUGGGUAGCUUCAGCUUUCUUGGUUGAGUGAAUUUCAAAACUAGGGCCUUUUUAAGGUAGGGCGUACUGCGCAUUGUCCUAUUCGGCCCUUUGUUCUCGUUCUAAAAUUUCUAUUUCAAGCUUUCACUCGACAAAUGGCGAAUGAGCAACAGCUUUUGCGGCCAUGGUUCCUCGACUUGGUGCCAUACAUGGUCGUUUUAUUAAUUGCUGCUCAUGUCCUCGCUUUGGUUUACUGGAUUUAUAGAUUAGCUACUGAAAGACAGCCUCAGCGACGAAAGGCUCACUAAACCUACACUUCAAUAUAGAGAAAGGAAGUUCUUUCAUCCAAUCCUGAGUAUGAUUCUAUCUAGAGAGGGUUUUUACAACACUGUAACAGGCUGCAAUUCUCUUCUGUGGAGCUAAGUUCUCUUUGUAUCAGAUUGUGCUACUUAUUCCUUGUCUGUACAUUGUUUCUUUGGAGGAUCUUGCUUUGACUUCAUGUAUACUCACUUGAAUUGCUCACUUAUCAUUGCUGUUAUACAUAAAAACAGGCAGAAUGGUCCAAGUGUUAUCUUUGGUCUUUCUGUUGUUUACCCAAGACAUGCAUGCACUUGUGCACAUGUAUAACUUUUCGUAGUUCUAUAUAGUAAUCACAUGAUUUAAUGGGACUAGGUUUGGAGAUCAUAUGAAUUGAGCUGGUUUACUUGAUUUUCCAGUUUAAAGUAAUUAUCAGAGAUAAUUGUAAACAUUUAUUCUACUUGUGCACUGAAAUUGUUUUUAAUCUGUUGACAUGCUUAGUGUUAU